Molecule: non-coding RNA, 29 nt
Filed under: Rattus norvegicus (Norway rat)
Lineage: Eukaryota; Metazoa; Chordata; Mammalia; Rodentia; Muridae
Source: RNAcentral
UGCCCAAGUGUCUGAAGGUUACCUGUGGU